This 1529-nucleotide ribosomal RNA is filed under the name Weissella confusa. RNAcentral describes it as "bacterial SSU rRNA". It matches the Rfam family "Bacterial small subunit ribosomal RNA". Lineage: Bacteria; Bacillati; Bacillota; Bacilli; Lactobacillales; Lactobacillaceae. The record is from RNAcentral.
UUUUAGAGUUUUGGAUAUGGCUCAGGAUGAACGCUGGCGGCGUGCCUAAUACAUGCAAGUCGAACGCUUUGUGGUUCAACUGAUUUGAAGAGCUUGCUCAGAUAUGACGAUGGACAUUGCAAAGAGUGGCGAACGGGUGAGUAACACGUGGGAAACCUACCUCUUAGCAGGGGAUAACAUUUGGAAACAGAUGCUAAUACCGUAUAACAAUGACAACCGCAUGGUUGUUAUUUAAAAGAUGGUUCUGCUAUCACUAAGAGAUGGUCCCGCGGUGCAUUAGCUAGUUGGUAAGGUAAUGGCUUACCAAGGCGAUGAUGCAUAGCCGAGUUGAGAGACUGAUCGGCCACAAUGGGACUGAGACACGGCCCAUACUCCUACGGGAGGCAGCAGUAGGGAAUCUUCCACAAUGGGCGAAAGCCUGAUGGAGCAACGCCGCGUGUGUGAUGAAGGGUUUCGGCUCGUAAAACACUGUUGUAAGAGAAGAAUGACAUUGAGAGUAACUGUUCAAUGUGUGACGGUAUCUUACCAGAAAGGAACGGCUAAAUACGUGCCAGCAGCCGCGGUAAUACGUAUGUUCCAAGCGUUAUCCGGAUUUAUUGGGCGUAAAGCGAGCGCAGACGGUUAUUUAAGUCUGAAGUGAAAGCCCUCAGCUCAACUGAGGAAUUGCUUUGGAAACUGGAUGACUUGAGUGCAGUAGAGGAAAGUGGAACUCCAUGUGUAGCGGUGAAAUGCGUAGAUAUAUGGAAGAACACCAGUGGCGAAGGCGGCUUUCUGGACUGUAACUGACGUUGAGGCUCGAAAGUGUGGGUAGCAAACAGGAUUAGAUACCCUGGUAGUCCACACCGUAAACGAUGAGUGCUAGGUGUUUGAGGGUUUCCGCCCUUAAGUGCCGCAGCUAACGCAUUAAGCACUCCGCCUGGGGAGUACGACCGCAAGGUUGAAACUCAAAGGAAUUGACGGGGACCCGCACAAGCGGUGGAGCAUGUGGUUUAAUUCGAAGCAACGCGAAGAACCUUACCAGGUCUUGACAUCCCUUGACAACUCCAGAGAUGGAGCGUUCCCUUCGGGGACAAGGUGACAGGUGGUGCAUGGUUGUCGUCAGCUCGUGUCGUGAGAUGUUGGGUUAAGUCCCGCAACGAGCGCAACCCUUAUUACUAGUUGCCAGCAUUCAGUUGGGCACUCUAGUGAGACUGCCGGUGACAAACCGGAGGAAGGUGGGGAUGACGUCAAAUCAUCAUGCCCCUUAUGACCUGGGCUACACACGUGCUACAAUGGCGUAUACAACGAGUUGCCAACCCGCGAGGGUGAGCUAAUCUCUUAAAGUACGUCUCAGUUCGGAUUGUAGGCUGCAACUCGCCUACAUGAAGUCGGAAUCGCUAGUAAUCGCGGAUCAGCACGCCGCGGUGAAUACGUUCCCGGGUCUUGUACACACCGCCCGUCACACCAUGAGAGUUUGUAACACCCAAAGCCGGUGGGGUAACCUUCGGGAGCCAGCCGUCUAAGGUGGGACAGAUGAUUAGGGUGAAUCU